UGGUGGAGUGAUUUGUCUGGUUGAUUCCGUUAACGAACGAGAUCUCGACCCUUAAAUAGGUAUGCUCGUCGCCUCGGUGUGGUUGCUCCUCCGGGAUUCCCAACUCACUUAGACAGGGCAACUACUUCUUAAGGGGACUGCGUGCGCUUCUAGUACGCGGAAGAGCGAGCCAAUAGCA
Molecule: ribosomal RNA, 178 nt
Filed under: uncultured eukaryote
Lineage: Eukaryota
Description: partial 18S ribosomal RNA
Rfam family: Eukaryotic small subunit ribosomal RNA
Source: RNAcentral